CCUACGGGUGGCAGCAGUGAGGAAUAUUGGUCAAUGGGCGCUAGCCUGAACCAGCCAAGUAGCGUGAAGGAUGACUGCCCUCUGGGUUGUAAACUUCUUUUAUAUGGGAAUAAAGUGCAGUAUGUAUACUGCUUUGCAUGUACCUUAUCAAUACGGAUCGGCUAACUCCGUGCCAGCAGCCGAGGUUAUACGGAGGGUCCGAGCGUUAUCCGGAUUUAUUGGGUGUAAAGGGAGCGUAGGCGGGUGGUUAAGUCAGUUGUGAAAGUUUGCGGCUCAACCGUAAAAUUGCAGUUGAUACUGGCAGCCUUGAGUACAGUAGAGGUAGGCGGAAUUCGUGGUGUAGCGGUGAAAUGCUUAGAUAUCACGAAGAACUCCGAUUGCGAAGGCAGCUUACUAAACUGCCACUGACAUUGAGGCUCGAAAGUGUGGGUAUCAAACAGGAUUAGAUACCCCGGUAGUC
Molecule: ribosomal RNA, 460 nt
Filed under: uncultured bacterium
Lineage: Bacteria
Description: partial 16S ribosomal RNA
Rfam family: Bacterial small subunit ribosomal RNA
Source: RNAcentral